GGCGGUGCAGUUGAUGAUGGAGAGGGAGAGGGAGAGGGAGAGCGAGAGGGGGAGGAACGGUGGUUCUGCUGUUGCGAUAUAUUUUUUUCUUCCUUUUUUCCUCUUAAAUUGGAUGAAAUAAUUGAUUGCAAAUAGUCCACACAGAAAACAUUACUUCCAGCUUCAGGUCAGCAUCGCGCCGGACUCCCAUUCUUGUAUCUUAAAGCCCAAAGAUAACUUAAUUCGACUUUUUGGGCUGUUGAUGCACAAAACUAUGUAACUGGACUCUUUGAAGUAAAAUGAACAUCCCUUCAGAUAUGGGCAUUGUAGCUCAAAAACCCUUUAAUUGCUCUUUAAUU
RNAcentral lists this unclassified non-coding RNA (338 nucleotides) under Hevea brasiliensis (rubber tree). The record is from RNAcentral. Lineage: Eukaryota; Viridiplantae; Streptophyta; Magnoliopsida; Malpighiales; Euphorbiaceae.